This 518-nucleotide unclassified non-coding RNA is filed under the name Hevea brasiliensis (rubber tree). Lineage: Eukaryota; Viridiplantae; Streptophyta; Magnoliopsida; Malpighiales; Euphorbiaceae. The record is from RNAcentral.
CCUGAAAGGCUUAUCACCAUCAAAAGGCUGGCACCCUAAACCUUCUUUCUCAUGAUACAUGGCAGAACCCACCAAGAACCCGCCAUAAUCUGGUAAACCAAAGUUGCCUAUUGCACUGUCAUGUUUUGAUCUUAAACUCAAUGGAGACAACACACUUAUGCUACUCUUCUCCACCACAAAACGACCAAACACAAAGCUCCCCAGAAGUUCUGAUACCAGAAAUAAAAACAAAAGUUUUCCCAAACGAGCCAUGCAAAUGAUCGUCAUUACCAAUAAUCAUACAAAACAAAAGGUUUUGGGUUUGUUUGGUUUAUUCUUGCUCUGCUUGGCCGAGAGAAAAGAGAAAUGGGGACGUUUGUGGAGAGGAGACUUUGCAGCAGUCCACAGAUGAAAAGAGAGAAAUUCAGAACUUGUAGUUUACUUUAGGUUUGGUCUUUGUAUAAGAAAAUAAAUAAAACUGUGACGUAAAGGAAACGGCAAAAGCAGAGGAAGAGUAAGCUGGUGGACGGAGUCAGCGG